GCAUAUCAAUAAGCGGAGGAAAAGAAACUAACUAGGAUUCCCUUAGUAACGGCGAGUGAACCGGGAUGAGCUCAAAUUUGAAAUCUGGCGUCUUUCAGGCGUCCGAGUUGUAAUCUAUAGAGGCGUUUUCCGCGCCGGACCGCGUCCAAGUCUCUUGGAAUAGAGUAUCAAAGAGGGUGACAAUCCCGUACUUGACGCGACAACCGGUGCUCUGUGAUACGUUCUCAAUGAGUCGAGUUGUUUGGGAAUGCAGCUCUAAAUGGGUGGUAAAUUCCAUCUAAGGCUAAAUAUUGGCGAGAGACCGAUAGCGAACAAGUACCGUGAGGGAAAGAUGAAAAGCACUUUGGAAAGAGAGUUAAACAGCACGUGAAAUUGUUAAAAGGGAAACGAUUGAAGUCAGUCGUGUGGGAAGUAUUCAGCCGUCUCUGGCGGUGUAUUUGCUUCUCACGGGUCAACAUCAGUUUGAUCCGGUAGAAAAAGGCGGGAAGAAGGUGGCACCCUCGGGUGUGUUAUAGCUUCCUGUCAUAUGUGCCGGACCAGACUGAGGAACGCAGCUUGCAGCAAUGCCGGGGUUCGCCCACGUACAAGCUAGGAUGUGAC
RNAcentral lists this ribosomal RNA (600 nucleotides) under Vishniacozyma carnescens. RNAcentral describes it as "partial large subunit ribosomal RNA". It matches the Rfam family "Eukaryotic large subunit ribosomal RNA", at positions 38 to 629 of the family's 3401-position model. Lineage: Eukaryota; Fungi; Basidiomycota; Tremellomycetes; Tremellales; Bulleribasidiaceae. The record is from RNAcentral.